ACGUGAUCUGAGUUCAGACCGGAGUAAUCCAGGUCGGUUUCUAUCUAUAAAGAGCUUUUUCUAGUACGAAAGGACCAAAAAAGCACGGCCUAUGCUUUAAGUAAGCCGUAUCAUCAAUUUCUGAUUUAAACUUAAUAAAUAAUCGACCUACAACUUUGCUCAAAACAAGAACA
This 173-nucleotide ribosomal RNA is filed under the name Bromeliohyla melacaena. RNAcentral's name for it is "partial 16S ribosomal RNA". Lineage: Eukaryota; Metazoa; Chordata; Amphibia; Anura; Hylidae. The record is from RNAcentral.